UACGUAGGGUGCAAGCGUUGUCCGGAAUUAUUGGGCGUAAAGAGCUCGUAGGCGGUCUGUCGCGUCGGCUGUGAAAACCUGGGGCUUAACUCCGGGCUUGCAGCCGAUACGGGCAGACUAGAGUUCGGCAGGGGAGACUGGAAUUCCUGGUGUAGCGGUGAAAUGCGCAGAUAUCAGGAGGAACACCGAUGGCGAAGGCGGGUCUCUGGCCGGUACCGACGCUGAGGAGCGAAAGCGUGGGGAGCGAACAGG
Molecule: ribosomal RNA, 252 nt
Filed under: uncultured bacterium
Lineage: Bacteria
Description: partial 16S ribosomal RNA
Rfam family: Bacterial small subunit ribosomal RNA
Source: RNAcentral